This 447-nucleotide ribosomal RNA is filed under the name uncultured bacterium. Its description in RNAcentral is "bacterial SSU rRNA". It matches the Rfam family "Bacterial small subunit ribosomal RNA", at positions 329 to 793 of the family's 1533-position model. The record is from RNAcentral.
GCCCAGACUCCUACGGGAGGCAGCAGUGGGGAAUAUUGCACAAUGGGGGAAACCCUGAUGCAGCGACGCCGCGUGAGCGAUGAAGUAUUUCGGUAUGUAAAGCUCUCUCAGCAGGGAAGAAGAUGACGGUACCUGACUAAGAAGCCCCGGCUAACUACGUGCCAGCAGCCGCGGUAAUACGUAGGGGGCAAGCGUUAUCCGGAUUUACUGGGUGUAAAGGGAGCGUAGACGGCGAUGCAAGCCAGAUGUGAAAGCCCGGGGCUCAACCCCGGGACUGCAUUUGGAACUGUGUGGCUGGAGUGUCGGAGAGGCAGGCGGAAUUCCUAGUGUAGCGGUGAAAUGCGUAGAUAUCAGGAGGAACACCGGUGGCGAAGGCGGCCUGCUGGACUGCAACUGACGUUGAGGCCCGAAAGCGUGGGGAGCAAACAGGAUUAGAUACCCUGGUAU